AUGGAGGGAGGGGAGGCAGGAGUAGGUUUCCACAUCCAAACUGGCACCAGGAUUUUCCCCGUCACAGCAGUGCCUGUGUUUUUUCUUUUAGUUUAUGGGAACAAAAAAGGGUUAUGUCCUUUCAACCGAUGGCAGAGCAGCAUUAAUGAUGGUGCUGGCAUUAUUUUAGAGCACAGUGGCACCAGAAAACAUGACAUUGGUUUGUUAUCCCUCAGCAGAGGAAAGAACAAUUGCUCCUGGUCUUUGGGAGAAAACUUGCUUUGUCAUCUGCUGAUUGCUGGGAGAGAAAUGGCAAGGAGACAAAUCCCUCCCUCAAAGACUUGCAGCGCAUACUGGAACUCUGCAUGGGAGUGAAGCCUGAAAAUAGACCAUCCUUCUGCACUUCAAAGGCCCUAGAAUAAUCUGACAGACAAGUGACAUUAAAGAACACAAAAUGAAGAUUCAGAAGAAAUAAAUGAGUUAUGGAAAGUAGAUCUUGAUCUUGCAGUCAAACAAAUGGACAUUGUGUAGAUUGUUCUUAGAAAUGAGACAUAGGAUUUGUCUUGGAGUCUCUAACAGUAUUUUUUAUUACUACAAACUGUUUUUAAAUCUGUGCUGUGAUUUUUACAUUAUUAAUCUUUUCCUUUUUCAUCUCUGUAACUUCUGCACCCAUUAGCUAGCUGGACUUUUUGUCCUAUAACCUUCUCCUUUUACUUCCUAAGUAAAAAGAUUGUUUCAUAUUCAGUAAAUUAAACACAUGGCUUUCAACAUACGUCUCAGGACAGUAUACUUUUCUUCAAGAAAAAGAAAUAUGGUUUCCAGAUAAAACAUCAGAAUGAAAUAAACACAGAAACAAUGUGCCUUUGGGGAGCAAGAAAACACUCCAGGGCUGAUUAUAUUUGCCAGAACGUUGAACAUGAACACAUCAGAUUGAUUAAGUCUGUCAUAACAGCAAAUCAUUAAGCCAUAAAAGAGAAAGUUGAAUAUACUUUCUAGAGAGAGAAGUCUAUUUUUUAAAUAAUCAAAAUAAUAUGGCUUUUAGAAAAUCCCUGUUGCUUUACUGUACUAGUAUUUUGAGCAGGACUUUGAUGUCAAAGAUGCUAUAGUAAUAAAAGCACAGACAUUGCAAUGUUAAUUUAUUAUUUUUUAUUACAUGACAUACCUAUCUGUGCCAAUGUCAGUAAAGACAAACAUGCCAGGUCAGGCGUAACCAGUGCCAUACAGCACUACAGGGGAAGGAAACAGCUGAGAGGCAAAGGACCAGCAUAGAUUCUGUACAGAGAGAAAAACACUUGUUGAAAAGCAAUGUAGUUACAAGGGGGUUUCCACAAAAACUUCCCUAUUCUGUGAAAACCUGAUCUAGAGGGAAUUCCAGAGUCAGCCUAAAGCGAGGCAGGAAAAAGAUGAAGCAAGCUAGUGAGCUGGAGGGAAUCCCAGACAGUGAGACGCUUGUCCAGAGAGAUCCUGUUCUCUGGCAUACACUGCGUAGGGCCAUGCAGCUCUUCAAGAACUGCAAGUUCUUGGGGUCAGAGCUCAUAUUCUCCUGACAUCCCACUUCCUGGGCAGUAUGACUGCAAGUUUUAUACACAAAACAAGGAAAACAUCAUAGCAAUCAUCACUGAUUUCAUGCUUCAGGAGGCAGCCACCCAGAAGAUUUUUUUAGCUGCCAGAAGUAGCCACUGCCCUGCGAACAUAUCCAAGUAUGUUUCUCUUCAGGUGAUUGAUCACAGAAGGGCUGAAGGAAGAGAUUUUUUUUUUCUUUUUAACAGCAAAUCACUUUUCUCAUUUCUUGAGUAUCCAGUGGCUGAGGAGAAACAUGUUCUCCUGCAGAUAUGAGCUCAGCUUGUGAGUGCUAGGGACAUUCUUUUAUUGAUGAAAGACUUGCUGCUCACUAAAAAUAUCCAGCUUUUGAAGUAGAAAUGAUCCUUCUUCAGCAUCUCAGGACUUCAGAGAAACUCAGAAGCCAGUAUGAUUUGCUAUGACCCCACCCCCUCAGUCUCCCCUAGUAUGAAAUUAUCUUGAAGGAGAAAAAAUAAAAUCAAAGUGUUUAAAACGUUUCUCUUCAACAUUUCCACCUCUCUGAAGAAGAUUCUACUAAGACAAAAAUAGGUAGCAUUGGCAGGACCACUGCAGACUUUCAAACAGGCAAGAUCUAACAUGCAAUUAUUAGUUGCUCCUUAUCAUAAGGGGCGUUGAAAAGAUACACACUGAUUUAUUUACACUAGUAUUUAAACAGUACUCCAGAAAAGAGAAGGAAAAACAUAUUGUUGCAGAGGAAAAACCAUCUCAAAAGCUAUGUAUAUAUAAAUUCUCUUCUGUCUGCAACAGUCCGAAGCUUGCAAUUCAUCAGCUGGUCUUUAACCUGCACUCUCUGUAAGUUCAUGAUUUCAUUGGGUUGAAAAAAUGGGCUAAAUGAAUCACAGUUCCUAUUGUUGAAGAGCUAAAAUUAAGAUUUGUUCUACGUGAAGCCAAGAUCAAAAACUGUCCAAGCUUUAGUGUCUAUCCUGUCGUUUACCCAGUCAACAAAACACUUUAAGCUUCAAAGACUACCUUUUGCACAGUAGCACAUGAAACAGUAACAAUGAUGGAGCUCAGCUGUCCCUCCUUGUAUUUGCUUUCCAUAUUUCUCCCUAAUCUUUCAAAUUUAUGAUUUUGCAACUGAUUUUACAUCCGAUUAUUGCUCUUCUUCUUGGCUAGAUAUCAAGGACUACUGAUACCUAAGGCUGGUAUUCUUAUCCUCAAAGCCUGAGUAAGCCAAAGGCAUGACUCACAAAGUUCCAUCUAACAGUCUCUCUGUUCAAAAAGCCCAAUCUUAGUACGAGAUAAAUUGAAAUGAAAAGAUUCAGGCUGAAACAUACACAUAGCCUUAAAUAGCUGAAAAUACGCCGUGAGCUUGGAAAGUGCAAAGCAUUUAAUUUUUCAGAUCUCUUCCAUGCUUCCAUUGGAACCAUAUGGAGCUUCCAUUUCCUUAUAUUCUCCACCUACACUAUCCUACACUAUAAUCCACACUAGAAUAUAGUGGCCAAAUACAUGCAGUAGUUUAAAACAUAAUUGUAUAUAUGCAUAUUAGCUCUACAGUAUGGUAUUUUUUUUCUGAGCUUACACAAUUAUGACUGACAGCAAAGCUCAUUGAAAUGUAUUUAGUCAUUUGCAUCCAUCGGUUUAAUUUAUAGUCACCUCCCAGGUGCUAAUUUGUAUUUACAAUUACAAUGCAGAUUUACUAAUAACUCUCAAGAAAACAAGAUUGUUGGUGAAGCAUCAUCAUGUGCUGGGAUGUCACUAGAUGAUGCCACUUCAUAAAAGAUGGAGAUUCCUUUCUAGUUUCAAGAAUUUCUGUCUUCAUUUUCAGGAGUGCAAACACACUUCAAUCUUUCGAUUUCAGUGUAUUUCAAAUGCACAGCACCUAUAGAAAUUAGACUGCAUUAUCUGGCAUGUUGUAGUGUCGAUAAUUCACUGAAUACCAGGUGCUCCGUCUCUGCAUAGAAGUAAAGGAAGAACCAAGAAACUGGAAGAAAAAUUUAAUACCCCUAAUAUCUCUCCGGUCAAGGUGCUGUACAGAAACUUAGAAGUCAUUGAAAACGCAGCCUCGCCUAUAAAUCUUGCUCCUUUUCCACUUUUUAACCAUCUCGGUGCUGACACUGUAACUGUUUGCUUCAUUGACCAGGCAGUUAAGUGCUCAAACUGUAAGAAUACAUGACUUAUGCCACUCCUGGAGCAAGCCCACAAUGGUUAUCGAUCAGACUUCCAACUGCAGUGACCCUACAAGGCUGUCAAAGAUUUAAUACCCAUUUUGGGGAUGAUGAGGUAAAAUCUUGUUACUCCUAUGUACCGAAGUAUUUUCAACUAUGGUUUAGACAGCCUUGUCCCUAACAACUUUUGCAUCGCAUAAGGAUUCUUUUUAUAGUAUCAGUAUAUUCUGUCCUGUAUAGUUUAAGUUUUGUAAAGCAUAAAUUAAUGUAAGUAUUACGUUCAAAUAUACACAUAGUUUGUAUAUUAACAUUAAAAGGUUUAUCAAAGCAGAAUUAAAAUUGAGCUUUGAAAACUAAAUUUUCUGAUUUUCAAAGGCUGGGGCUUGUUUUUUUUAAAAAAAAAAAAACACCGUGUUUUUUAACACUCUGUUGAAUUUGUUUGUGAGGCUGGAUUCUUCUUUUUAAGCAAAGAAUAAAAAUAUGAGGAAAUCUUUGGUAUAGUUUUAGAUUCCCUGAUACAGAUGCUUUUUCACAUAAUGUCAAGUUACUA
Accipiter nisus (Eurasian sparrowhawk) is the source of this 4218-nucleotide long non-coding RNA. Lineage: Eukaryota; Metazoa; Chordata; Aves; Accipitriformes; Accipitridae. The record is from Ensembl.